CUCGUCAAACAUCACACAUUCAUCUCAGUACAUAAAUAGAGGAGCAGAAGUUAAGGUGGUGUUGGGUUUGUGGUAAUGAUGCCGGUAUUAUGACUCGAGAAGGCAGAAGACCGGUGUAUGCCGUCAGGCACACGUGUUCCAUCGGAAUUGUAAUUUUAUUUAUUAUUCUAUCGUUUAAUUUUUGAGUCGAGGAGCGCGGCCAUGGCUGAAACUGAGGACUUCCUGGCAUGGCUGCAGGCUCAAGGUCUGAGAGCAGAGACUGCAUUUGGUGUGAUUACUGAACUGGGCAUUGAGAGUCAAACGGUGCUUCGUAUCUGCACAGAGUCUGCUUUGUUGAGAUCUGAACUAUACUCACUCCUCAAGGAGAAGUUUGCCUUUGCCAUGUACGCUGAGGUUCGGUGUUUUGUGGAGUCACAGUAUCAUUGCCAAGGUCAUGGUCUUGCAAAUUUGGUACUGGUGGAUGUCCUGUGCUCCAUGUUGAAUGCUGUCAGCCAGGAGUUCACUAACUGUGCGCAGAGGUUAAGGUACUUGGGCCUUCACUCAGAUGAUGCCGAUAGUGAUGGCUUGGAGCAAAAGAGUACUGCUGAGAACUUUAGCAGUACGAGUGAGAACAUCUGCACCUUUCAUCCUCAACAGGAGAUGAGUGUGACAUCUGAACCCAGUAUGGUAGAGAUGAAGAUUGAACAUGAAGAUGAUGAAGGGCUCUGUGGAGAGAUGCAGCUCGAGGUCGAAGGAACAAACGGUUCAACUUGUACCUCAAAAGGCAAGCUCUUUGCUUUUGUACAACAUUAUUCUUCUGACAUUGUAUAACAUGGCAGAAAAACUGUGUUUAUAAUCCAUUAAUUAUUUUUGC
RNAcentral lists this long non-coding RNA (853 nucleotides) under Eptatretus burgeri (inshore hagfish). RNAcentral's name for it is "lncRNA (ENSEBUG00000017247.1)". The record is from RNAcentral. Lineage: Eukaryota; Metazoa; Chordata; Myxini; Myxiniformes; Myxinidae.